This 77-nucleotide transfer RNA is filed under the name Chloroflexota bacterium. RNAcentral's name for it is "Chloroflexi bacterium tRNA-Val". It matches the Rfam family "tRNA". Rfam says of the family: Transfer RNA (tRNA) molecules are approximately 80 nucleotides in length. Their secondary structure includes four short double-helical elements and three loops (D, anti-codon, and T loops). The record is from RNAcentral. Lineage: Bacteria; Bacillati; Chloroflexota.
GGACAAGUAGCUCAGCCGGUUAGAGCGCCACGUUGACAUCGUGGAGGUCGGAGGUUCAAGUCCUCUCUUGCCCACCA